AAAGAGUGAUGCUGAAGCGCUGGUCAUUUCUGUCAGCUGGGAAAGGAAGGAAGAUGUUGUUGCUCUAUCUAAUGUCACUUUUUAUUCCAAAACAUUUGACACUUUUUAUCUGCAACAUCAUGAAUCACUUGGUCAUUUGAGAAAAGACACAUAAUUAGACAUUUUCUAUUACAAGUAGUUCAAAUUGUAUAAACACAUAAUUCAUGAGUUUGCAGUAGUGUCUGCCUUUAUGUCAGGGCAAAUUUGAGCAUAUUUCAAUUUUGUCCAACUUGUUACUAAUAAACUUGAUUUGUCCAGAGCUCUCAACUCAAUUCAAACAACUCAUGACACCAUUCCUUCGACACACACACACACACUUUUAUCCAAAGCAACUUGCAGUGCAUUCUAGUUAUAAUUAGUUUUUUGUUUUUUUAACCAGUGUGUGUUUGUUCCCUGGGAAUUGAAGCCACAAACUUUAGCACUGACUGCUCACAUAAUGCUCCACCACUGACAGACGGACCGACACACACAUACAUGCACACACACACACACACACACACAAGGAGGAAGCUUUUGGGAUCAAGUGGAAAGAGGGACACAGUCUAGUCAGUCAUAUGAACUCGGGACUGGUUCAGUCACAAUGAGAAAUCUUAUUCUAAACUGGACAUUUCUCUUUAUUUUACAUCUGACCAAAGAGGACGCUUCAGUGCAAAAGCUGAGUGCCCCAGAAAAGCACUUUCUUGUCCUGAUGUGUUCUGACGCUUCAUAUGUUGACUGGAGCCAUGGGCUGGAAAAGGUGAUCGCUUCUAAACGAGGAAAGCUGGUGUCUUACCUGGACCAAAGCAAACACCAGCUGCUUGAAGACGGCCAGCUCUCCAUUAAAGGCCUGCAGGAAUCAGACGCAGGAGAAUAUUACUGCAACCAUCAGCUAGUGGCAGAUAUCACUGUGCUCAAAGGUCAUAACUUUACAGUUGCUGAGGGCACAACUAUUUAUCUGCCAUGUAAGACAUCUGAUAAAAUGAAGCAGAGAUGGGCAUUCAAACGCACUCCUCACUCCAGAAAAGAGUUCAUCUCCACACUUUAUAAAAACAGCACCAUAAAGAAAGAGAGAGCUGAUCCAACAUUAAGAUUCACCCACACCACAGACCACCUGAUUAUCUCCAGUCUCCGGCUGCAGGACUCUGGGCUUUAUCUGUGCAACAACAGAGAGAUGGCUUUCCUCACGGUGACCACAGCAUCGACUGAAAUUGAAAACAGCAGUCCAGAUAUAAACAAAUAUCUGACUGUGGCCGUCCUGCUGGCCUUGUGCAUACUGGCGAUGGUUUGUGUUGGACUUCUGUCUGUGACGAUCGGCUGGAAAAGCAGAAGAAGGAGAAGAAACUUCAGAAAAGAAACAGAGCUGACAAAUAUUGCAUCUGGUCAACAAUUACAAAGCAUGUCAAAUGAAGGCCCCUGGAUGCUGGACCCUCAGGAGGAUGCAGGGGAAAUCCAGUACGCGUCUCUGGGUGUGCAGCACUGGAGACAGACAGACAGACAGCUGAGCAGCAGACAGCAUGUCAUUUACUCCACACUGACCCCGUCAUGAAAACAACACACUCAUUUACACUGGAUACCUAGUCAAUAUGAGAUAUGUUCAUAUAAACCGAAUACAUUCAAAAACACCUUAUAUAGAAACUGAGUCUUAGCUUUAUUGUCAUCCUACAAAAGCUUAUAUAUAAUCAAACAAAUGAAAAACAAACCAUAGAAUAUAGUUAUAUAACACAUGUAAUAUAACUACUUUAGCUGUGAAACUUGAAAUUAUUAGGAAAGGGGAUCUGCAAAGAUUCAUAAAACAUAGGCACAUUUAGGUACAUUGGGGCGCAUUCCCUUCAAAAACAAAGCUAAACCACAGCAGCUCAGAUGUCAGGAGUAAAUGAGACUGCUAUGUUCAUUAUAAGAUCCACCAACAGAACACCUUGAUUAUUAGGAGUCAUUCUUUCAUAUUGUCUUCCCCUGCACACAAUG
Long non-coding RNA from Carassius auratus (goldfish), 1983 nucleotides. The record is from Ensembl. NCBI's taxonomy places the organism in Eukaryota, Metazoa, Chordata, Actinopteri, Cypriniformes, Cyprinidae.